This 2368-nucleotide long non-coding RNA is filed under the name Homo sapiens (human). RNAcentral's name for it is "HSALNT0097378". Lineage: Eukaryota; Metazoa; Chordata; Mammalia; Primates; Hominidae. The record is from RNAcentral.
GCUGCAGAAACAUUCUGAAGAAAAGACAACAUGUCAAGAAGAUACUAGGUUUGGAGAGCAUCCUGACCAACAAAAACAAGAAGGAAAAAUGUGGAGGAAACAGGUUCCUUGAAGUUCGCAUCUCUAGGCUGAAAUUAUUUGGCCAAAAUACAUGAAAAGCCCUUCUGUAAAGCAACUGAUGUCUUCAACUUACUAUGAAACGGAGAUGAAUAACUCAGCUUGAUGAAGGAACCCUCAUGUCCACUCAAUCCAAACACGACAACAAAUGCCUUACAAGCAGAAAUCCCCAUGGAACUAAUGGGAGCAGAGGCCUCCCACACACCCCAAGCGGGAAUAGACACAUUUCACUUCCAAACUCUGACUAACAGGAUCUCCUGUGGCUCUUUCUGCCACCUGAAAAUGUUCACUUUUCAUCACAAAUCCAUUGUAUCAAAGAAUCUUUGCUAAAGGCUUCUGACUCAACCAGGCUGGGUGAAUCCUGAUUCAUCUGCGUAGUUGCCGAUACAGAAAGGAACUCGAUGUGGCACAGAAAGAGGAUGAUUUGCUAAGAGUUUGCAAAUCAAAAGUAAGAUGUAUGGAAUUCCGCUUCUUUCAGGAAGACUUUUUGGAUUGGAUCAGAUGAAAUCCAAUGGCUUCCUCAACCCUAUGCUGACAAAUAAUAGAGCAUGGCAAAUUGGAGUCUUCAAUUAAGCACACGGAAUACAUGUGCUGAAUUGCUUUCUUUGCAAGGUUCAGAGUCAGAAUUCCUGCCCUGGGUUCUGAGUUGCUGAGUGGAGACGAUGAUGGAGAGCAGUGGAGACACGUGAUUUUCAGGGUGCUCUUUGCAUGCAUGAAAUGGAGCAAGACUUAUGAAGGGAAAAUGAAAGAGGAGGAUAGGAAGAUACGUCACCUCCUGGGUUUCCUCCAAUCAUCCAGUCCUCAUCUCUCUAUAUGUCUUUGAACACUCUGAGCGCCAUCAUGCCAAUUCCAUGGAUGAAACAAAUACCCAUGACUCAGCAUUUUUCUAAUGAAAACACGUGCGGUCUGACCCGAAGGAGAAACCACAAACAGAAUUGAGAAAAGCAGGCAGGCAAAUUUUGCUUUUCUUUUUCGUUAACCAACAGAAAAUGUAAGGACUGUUUCAUUAGGGAAUAAAAAAAAAAUGACUUACAGAAUUAACCAGAAGCAGCUCAUGAUAAAAUACAGUAUCACGCUAGAAAUACAUGUUUUACUUUUCAUGAAAGCUAACCACAUUGCCAUGAUGGGAACUCUCACACAUUGCUGGUGGGUAUGCAAAAUGAGACAGCCAGUCUGGAAAACAGUCUGCCAGUUUCCCGUGAUGUUACACUUACCACACACCCUAAUAAUCCCAAGUCUAGGUAUUUACCCUAGAGAAAUGAGGACUUAAUGUUCAACCCAAAAUCUGCACGUGAAAAUUUGUAGCGGCUUUAUUCCUUGUCACUAAAAACUGAGAACAACCAGAUGUCCUGCAAGUGACUGAAUAAACAAAGUAUAGUAAUUCAUAUACUACAAAGUAUAAUUCAUGGAGUACUAUGAAGCAAAAGCAGGAAUGACUAGAGUUAAUAACAAAGUAUUGUAUUGUUGAAAAUUGCUGAGCGAGUAGAUUUUAAAUGUUCUCACCACAAAGAACUGAAAAGUAUGUGAGGUAAUGAAUAUGUUAAGUAGCUUGAUUUAGCCAUUCCACAAUGUACAUAUAUCAAAACAUCGUGGUGUAUACCAUAAAUAUAUACAAAUGUUAUUUGUCUAUUAAAGAAGUUAAUUAAAGAAAAGGAUGGACUAUUGAUACACACAACCACUUGGAUACAUUGCAAAGGUACCAUGCUGAAUGAAAGAAAUUAGUUUCAAAAGCUAUGAUUUCAUUUAGAUGACAUCCUCAAGAAGACAAAACUGUAGUGACAAGGACAGAUUAGUGACUAGGAGAGACUGAGACAGGGCUGGGGUGUGUAAGUAACUACAAAAGGAGAACAUGGGAAAUUUUCGAGGCAAAAGGGUUGUCUUGGGUUCCUGCAGUUGUGACAGUUCCAGAAACCUGUAUUUGUGUUAAAAUCUACAGAACUGUACACAGUGAAGCCAAUUUUACUGUAUGUUAACUUUAAAAAUAUAAUACCACAAUAAAAUUAAACAUCACGCUGAAUGCUAAGAAUAGGAUAGACUUGCUUCAAUGGAUGGGGGAAAGACUUGCUUAACGGUAGGAGCCAUUUCAGGCAGAGACACUGAGGCUACUCUGUAACAAGGGAGAAAGGCAGCCUGAAAACUUGGUAAAUCUGUUUCCAAAAUAUUUGUCAUGUCCUUAAAAAUAAAAGCACACUGGAAAACACAAAAACGGAAUCAACCUCUCAGUAAAAGUCCUAUUGGCAUAUCGUUAAUC